Molecule: ribosomal RNA, 442 nt
Filed under: uncultured bacterium
Lineage: Bacteria
Description: partial 16S ribosomal RNA
Rfam family: Bacterial small subunit ribosomal RNA
Source: RNAcentral
CCUACGGGAGGCAGCAGUGGGGAAUAUUGGGCAAUGGACGCAAGUCUGACGCAGCAACGCCGCGUGAGGGAAGAAGGAUUUCGGGUUGUAAACUUCUUUUAGGAGGGAAGAUCAGAACGCGGUACCCCUUGAAUAAGCCACGGCUAACUACGUGCCAGCAGCCGCGGUAAUACGUAGGUGGCAAGCUUUGUCCGGAUUUACUGGGUGUAAAGGGCGUGCAGCCGGGAAGACAAGUCAGAUGUGAAAUCCCGGGGCUCAACCGCGGAACUGCAUUGGAAACUGUUUGUCUUGAGUAUCGGAGAGGUAAUCGGAAUUCCUAGUGUAGCGGUGAAAUGCGGAGAUAUUAGGAAGAACACCAGUGGCGAAGGCGGAUUACUGGACGACAACUGACGGUGAGGCGCGAAAGCGUGGGGAGCAAACAGGAUUAGAUACCCGGGUAGUC